This is a long non-coding RNA of Triplophysa rosa, 335 nucleotides long. RefSeq lists it as uncharacterized. The record is from RefSeq and is a predicted model, not a curated record. Lineage: Eukaryota; Metazoa; Chordata; Actinopteri; Cypriniformes; Nemacheilidae. The transcript has 3 exons.
AGAUGUUGAAACACUACAGUAGAAAAGAACUGAUGGAGAGGGAACCUGCUGUGAAGGAAGCCAGCACUCUUUAUGGAGAGUCAGAUUCUGGCAGAGUUCAGUCUUAUAUCUGUCAAAGACCUACAAACCGAAUUAUUUCUAGAACUGGACCGUUGACAUCUCAGAGCCUAAGGGGGAGACAUUGGCUCUAAACUUAAGAAGAUUCUGCAACAGAAUUUCAACAUUCAACAUUGAAAAUAAUAAAUCUGACAUCAUUGGGAGACGAACAGCAGUUCUUGAUGGCCUUCCACUCCUCCUUGGAGAAGACCCCACUGAUUUUUACAAGACAUGUAUUG